Molecule: ribosomal RNA, 484 nt
Filed under: uncultured bacterium
Lineage: Bacteria
Description: partial 16S ribosomal RNA
Rfam family: Bacterial small subunit ribosomal RNA
Source: RNAcentral
AUUGAACGCUGGCGGCAGGCCUAACACAUGCAAGUCGAGCGGAUGAAGGGAGCUUGCUCCUGGAUUCAGCGGCGGACGGGUGUGUAAUGCCUAGGAAUCUGCCUGGUAGUGGGGGAUAACGUCCGGAAAAGGGCGCUAAUAACGCAUAAGUGCUGCGGGAGAUAGAGGGGGAUGUUUGGACAUCACGCUAUCAGAUGAGUGUAGGUCGGGUUGGCUAGUUGGUGGGGUAAUGGCCUACCAAGGGGAGUAUUCGUAACUGGACUGAGUGGAUGAUUGGUCACCUGGGAACGUGAACACGCUCACUACGCCUACGGGAGGCAGCAGUGGGGAAUAGUGGGCAAUAGGCGAAAACCUUGUCCAACCAGGCCGCGUGUGUGAAGAAGGUCUUCGGAUUGUAAAGCACUUUAAGUUGUGAUGAAGGGCAUUAGGUUAAUACCUAGCUGUUUUGACGGUACCAACAGAAUAAGCACCGGCUAACUUCGUG